CCUACGGGAGGCAGCAGUGAGGAAUAUUGGUCAAUGGACGAGAGUCUGAACCAGCCAAGUAGCGUGAAGGAUGACUGCCCUAUGGGUUGUAAACUUCUUUUAUGUGGGAAUAAAAUGUUCCACGUGUGGGGUUUUGUAUGUACCAUAUGAAUAAGGAUCGGCUAACUCCGUGCCAGCAGCCGCGGUAAUACGGAGGAUCCGAGCGUUAUCCGGAUUUAUUGGGUUUAAAGGGAGCGUAGGUGGAUUGUUAAGUCAGUUGUGAAAGUUUGCGGCUCAACCGUAAAAUUGCAGUUGAAACUGGCAGUCUUGAGUACAGGAGAGGUGGGCGGAAUUCGUGGUGUAGCGGUGAAAUGCUUAGAUAUCACGAAGAACUCCGAUUGCGAAGGCAGCUCACUGGACUGCAACUGACACUGAGGCUCGAAAGCGUGGGGAGCAAACAGGAUUAGAUACCCCUGUAGUC
Molecule: ribosomal RNA, 460 nt
Filed under: uncultured bacterium
Lineage: Bacteria
Description: partial 16S ribosomal RNA
Rfam family: Bacterial small subunit ribosomal RNA
Source: RNAcentral